CUACAGAGGGUGCGAGCGUUAAUCGGAUUUACUGGGCGUAAAGGGUGCGUAGGCGGCUUGAUAAGUCGGAUGUGAAAGCCCCGGGCUUAACCUGGGAAUUGCAUUCGAUACUGUCAGGCUAGAGUAUGUCAGAGGUUGGCGGAAUUCCUGGUGUAGCGGUGAAAUGCGUAGAUAUCAGGAGGAACACCAGUGGCGAAGGCGGCUAACUGGGGCAAUACUGACGCUGAGGCACGAAAGCGUGGGGAGCAAACAGGAUUAGAAACCCUAGUAGUCC
RNAcentral lists this ribosomal RNA (274 nucleotides) under uncultured bacterium. RNAcentral describes it as "partial 16S ribosomal RNA". It matches the Rfam family "Bacterial small subunit ribosomal RNA", at positions 523 to 796 of the family's 1533-position model. The record is from RNAcentral.